AUUGAACGCUGGCGGCAUGCCUUACACAUGCAAGUCGAACGGCAGCACGGGUGCUUGCACCUGGUGGCGAGUGGCGAACGGGUGAGUAAUACAUCGGAACGUACCUUAUCGUGGGGGAUAACGCAGCGAAAGUUGCGCUAAUACCGCAUACGCCCUGAGGGGGAAAGCGGGGGACCGUAAGGCCUCGCGCGAUUAGAGCGGCCGAUGUCUGAUUAGCUUGUUGGUGAGGUAAAAGCCCACCAAGGCGAUGAUCAGUAGCUGGUCUGAGAGGACGAUCAGCCACACUGGGACUAAGACACGGCCCAGACUCCUACGGGAGGCAGCAGUGGGGAAUUUUGGACAAUGGGGGCAACCCUGAUCCAGCAAUGCCGCGUGAGUGAAGAAGGCCUUCGGGUUGUAAAGCUCUUUUGUCAGGGAAGAAACAGCAGCUCUAACACAGUCUGCGAAUGACGGUACCUGAGGAAUAAGCACCGGCUAACUACGUGCCAGCCGCCGCGGUAA
Molecule: ribosomal RNA, 501 nt
Filed under: uncultured bacterium
Lineage: Bacteria
Description: partial 16S ribosomal RNA
Rfam family: Bacterial small subunit ribosomal RNA
Source: RNAcentral